UACAGAGGUCCCAAGCGUUGUCCGGAAUCAUUGGGCGUAAAGAGCGUGUAGGCGGCCCGGUAAGUCCGCUGUGAAAGUCCAGGGCUCAACCCUGGGAUGCCGGUGGAUACUGUCGGGCUCGAGUCCGGAAGAGGAGUGUGGAAUUCCUGGUGUAGCGGUGAAAUGCGCAGAUAUCAGGAGGAACACCAAUGGCGAAGGCAGCACUC
RNAcentral lists this ribosomal RNA (206 nucleotides) under uncultured bacterium. Its description in RNAcentral is "partial 16S ribosomal RNA". It matches the Rfam family "Bacterial small subunit ribosomal RNA", at positions 524 to 729 of the family's 1533-position model. The record is from RNAcentral.